GGAAGUAAAAUCGUAACAAGGUCUCCGUUGGUGAACCAGCG
RNAcentral lists this ribosomal RNA (41 nucleotides) under Fusarium sp. PB1-R6-A Lr. RNAcentral describes it as "partial 17S ribosomal RNA". Lineage: Eukaryota; Fungi; Ascomycota; Sordariomycetes; Hypocreales; Nectriaceae. The record is from RNAcentral. RNAcentral also lists the same sequence under 1 other name.